UACGAAGGGUGCAAGCGUUACUCGGAAUUACUGGGCGUAAAGCGUGCGUAGGCGGUUUGUUAAGUCUGUCGUGAAAGCCCCGGGCUCAACCUGGGAAUGGCGAUGGAUACUGGCGAGCUAGAGUACGGUAGAGGAGAGUGGAAUUCCCGGUGUAGCAGUGAAAUGCGUAGAGAUCUGGAGGAAUAUCAGUUGCGAAGGCGGCUCUCUGGACCAGUACUGACGCUGAGGCACGAAAGCGUGGGGAGCAAACAGG
Molecule: ribosomal RNA, 253 nt
Filed under: uncultured bacterium
Lineage: Bacteria
Description: partial 16S ribosomal RNA
Rfam family: Bacterial small subunit ribosomal RNA
Source: RNAcentral